UACGCAGGUCGCAAGCGUUGUCCGGAUUUACUGGGCGUAAAGAGCGCGCAGGCGGCUGGUCAAGUCCGAUGUGAAAUCUCCCGGCUCAACUGGGAAACUGCAUCGGAAACUGAUCGGCUUGAAGAUGGGAGAGGGUAGUGGAAUUCCCGGUGUAGUGGUGAAAUGCGUAGAUAUCGGGAGGAACACCAGUGGCGAAGGCGACUACCUGGCCCAUUCUUGACGCUGAGGCGCGAAAGCUAGGGGAGCGAACGGG
RNAcentral lists this ribosomal RNA (253 nucleotides) under uncultured bacterium. RNAcentral's name for it is "partial 16S ribosomal RNA". It matches the Rfam family "Bacterial small subunit ribosomal RNA", at positions 524 to 776 of the family's 1533-position model. The record is from RNAcentral.